CUUAUCCGUUUCUGGUGAGCAGGCAGGGUACUGGAGCAUACAGAAAUGCUGCUUUUUGAAGCACCCUGAAAGCGGGCCCAGCAUAUUUUUCAAUGUCUAGGUGACCCAGAAGAGCUGAUCAGGGAGCAAAAACCAAGCACGUAGUAUAACAGACACAGAUAUGGGCAAACGUUAGUUUCAUGCUGCUUGGGCUUGACACUGACCUCCAAGAACCAAGAAAGCAGAAGAUGGGACUGAAACUGCCUCUUGUUUGUUCUUUGGUGCCAGAUCACACCGGGAUAUAAGAUACCUGAGGACUGUUUCUUGUUUGCAGACUGCUGCAAGACAGAGGCGUAAUCAUCUAUUGGCCUCUCUGCUGAGAUUGCCAGGGCGGAUAAGCAAGGGUCGAGCAGAGUAGGAGGUCCGGCAGUGUGGAAAAUCUACACGCCAGAGCCAGACAAGGGGGAAGAGGAGAGGAGCGCUGUUGAAGUCUGAUUUGCAGAAAAGACACAGCUUUUUCAUUAGUCCUCGUCCCUGUCGAUCUUGUUCAGCCACCUGAGCCCCCAAGCACCAAACCCCUUCUGCUCCUCAGCCUGUGCCAGGGUGGCCGCCUCGCUGGUGGGGAGUGCUCCGGAAAAUGCAGCCCUGCUUCUCCUGUGCCUGGGACUUGGCUUUGCACCAUGCCAUGCUGCAGGAAGGCUUCCAGGCUUAUCAGCAGGGUUGCCAAGGGCUGGACACGUUGCAAAGCAAGUAUCUCAAAGGAGAAAGAAGUGUCCCAUGCCAAACAGCUGUAGAUAUACUUCCAGCUGCUCGGUUCUCUGGAAAAGAGUCAUGUGAACUGCACCUUCAAAAUCUCCCUUCCAUAAGCCAGGAGCCAGCCAGUAAACACUUAAUACAUAGCUGAAUGCUGCACACUUGUGUUUCUAUUGACUUUUAAGGAGAAAGAAUAGGAAACCAUGAGUACCAUGGACUGGUACUCUGGUCUGCUACUGCAGGGAGUAGUCAACAAAGAACUUAGGUAUUAGCCAACUGCCACUGUUUGUUUGGUAGACAAAAGUAUGGCGAAUGGUCUGUUAAUGAAUAUCCCUGUGCGAGCACAUGGGCUGCAUGGCAUAAGGACAGACCUGUGCGUGGCAGGAUGGCAGAGGCUUGUGUGUGCUCAGAGGAGGAUGGGCGCUGGUAGUGGCGAUGCAUUAAACAGAGCAGGGGGUACGCAUUUCACUGCACUGCUUGGUAGUGUUUUAGGCAUGUCUGUCCACAUUGCACUGCACAAAUACUGCAUAGAGAUUAGUUCCUGUCAGAGGAAUUGUAUUCAAUUAUACAUUAUACUCUUGUUUUGAUAUAAUGCCAUUGAAAUGAAUGAACUUCUACACGUCUCAGAGUAGGGCAACAAGCUGAAAUGAAUCCAGUCUAGCAUGCCAUCCUAUUAGAAAGGGUCAGGUACAAAUCCAGCACUGGCUUGCCCCUUUUGUGUUUUUCAAAAGCUCAGAUCCGCAUUGGAAUGGAGGUGAGCAAAGGUCCAUUUCCACUGCUAACAGAGGGCAAGUCGGGAAAUGUAAGGGCUUUGCUCAGGCUGUAGGAAGUGAAUGGAGAUGUGUCACAGGAUUGCAGGAAGCUCAUGACUCCUAAAGAUAACAGUUGUUUGUGGUCAUGAGAUGAUUCCCAUUCUAUAUUUCAGUCUUCUACAGAAGGGAUUCGCUCAGCCAAAAACACACUGUUCCCUAGUGCCUGAACUAGAGUUCCCACUGAAACCCCUGUAAAGGUUUACCUCAGGGUCUCUUUUAAGGUGUUUUAAGGUAAAAGGAUGCAGGGACAGAGCGUGAGACCAGAAGUGUAAUCAUGCAGUGAUAAAGUGCAGGGGUCCACAGCCAAAGAGCUGCUCUGCAAGUGUGGGUGGAGUCCUCGGUAGCGGACAGCAGCAUGCCAUGUUCACUGCCACGUGCUGUCACCACCAGCGGGCUGCUGACAGAUCCAGCCUUGAAAGCAAACUGUCACGGAAGGAGCUUGAGGUAUGUGUGAGAUUUGGGUGGACUGAGAUAUGCUUUAUGGUUUCCAAUAUUCUGAAAUACUACCUGAGCCAUUUUCUUGAUCUUAGCCAAUGUACCAGAGCUACCUUUACUGAAACCUCUAGACAGUGCACAAAAGUAUAUAUCAUGCUGUACAGCAGCAUACCAAUAAUCCAUCUUUGCUCUUUACUAAUCUAAUUUAGGUGCUGGAAUAACAAAGUACAUAGUCCCUUCUCUGAGUGUGCAUUAUGCAAAAUCAGAGCCUGGGCUAUAAGGAAGAUAUUUGGAAAUCAGGCCUCUCCUGUCAAAUUUAGGACAGGGAAACAUCCUUCUUUCCUUAUAAGGAUAGGAUUCUUUCUCGUAACCAGCACUGAGAGGGAAGUUACACAAGACGGUAACCCAAAUAGACACAAAUCCUGAGGCUUUCCACAGAAAGGGGAACCUAAGCUCGAAAAUCCCAGCAUAGGAUGGCGGUGUGUUGCAUCAGUUUUCAUUCCUGUGCAGCUUUUACUGGACUAACAUCCAGACUCUGCAAGCAAAUGGAAAGCAGAAGCAGAUGUGAAGGGUGCAGGGUUCCUUUAGUAGGUCAGCUAGGAAGCCCAGCCAUUUGGGGCUCUGUUCAGAUCAUUCACUGGUCCUGAGCCAGAAGCAAGCACAAAUUGUCUGGCAGACCGUGAGGGUGAAAUACCUGUGGGAGUAGCAGGAAAGGGCAAAGUAUUUAAGGCAAAGGAAGCACUGUGGCAGAGGCCUGCUAGGAGUUCUGUACAGCUCUGCAUACAUUAGGGCAGAGAGACACAUCCCCUGCGGUAUAGAUGCUGGGCCAAAGAUUACAUAGGUGUGCAGGGGAUGCAGCGCCUUUUUGAGCCCAAAUACAGCCUGCAGAACUGCCUGACCUCUCAUCUACCAUCUAACUUCCUCCCUGCACUGUUGUAGGCUGCGCCCCAGCCACCUUAUUUCCCCUGCUGUAGGGCAGGUAUUUGCGAAGGACUUUGUCAGGGCUGUUGGCCACAGCGUGGCUUGCAGCAGUCUUGCAGUAUAGUUUUGCAGUGGUUGCUGAAAGUCUUCAUGUGCCUGAGUUGCCUGCAUGUGGUGCAAUUCAGAAUAAGCUCGGAACUGCACAAAUUGCAUGCAAACCAACGGUUAAGUGCUUUGCACUUAGCUUUUUUCUUUGGCCUGGUUUCUCCAUUGUUUCACACCAUAUGUUGUCACUUACAGUGAUGGAAGGAGAACAGAAAUUAACACCUUUCUGAUUUGGUAGCGUUUUGCUGUGGCUUUCCAUUGGCACAAAAAGCAAGUAUAUGUUGCAACACUGUAGAGAAUGGCUUCCCUGCCUGAAGACAACUCGGCUAACGCCCGCCUGGCAAAACAACUAUAAACACCGUGAGGUCAUGAGGUUUCUUUCCACUGCAGAGAGCAAGUGAUGCUCCUGAAAAACUAUGGGAAAACAGUUACCGACCUCAACUCCCUUCCAACAUCAGUUCUUUUUUCUCUUGGUUUAAUGUUGAAAACAAAGUUGUAACUCAGUCAUCAACCGUGGAAUUUAUCCCAGAAGACACGCAAGGACCACCAACAAUGUGGACCAGGUGUGAACUAUAAAUAGCAUUGGCAAGAGGCCUCCUGUGUCCCAGAGGCAUUAAUCCCACAGCCAGUGCUACUCCUUUUAUUUAUUUAUUUAUUUUCAAGUUUGCCAUUUCUCAAGCCCUCUUGGCAAGACUGUCUCUUGCUCAGGAUUUGUACAGCACUGAGCACAGUGAAGCCGCUAACCUUGAAUAAGCCCCUGUAGCACUACUGCAGUUGUAAUAACAUUGGAUUUUGUAACAACCUAUUCUCUUGUAAAAAUGACGGUCUGGCAGCUGCAGGGCAGUUUUAGAUGUGUCCCACGAAGUGCCAUAGCCUGGAGGGGCAGAUGUGUACCUGUAAUAUCCUUGGGCUUCCCAAACACAGGAGAUGGUUUGAUGCACAAAAAACUGGGAAAGGUAGGUGGCCUUGAAGAGCAACAGAAAACAGUCUUUAUUUUAUAUAGACAUUUCAAGCUACCAUUAUUUCAUCUGGAGUCAGGAAUGAUAUAAACAAGGGAGUACAAGCAUGCCAUUCUGGCUUUCAUUAUUUUUUCGCAUUAAGAGAACUUUUCCUUUUCCUGUAAAAGUGGGAAGGAAGAGAAAUCUUACAAGUAUUUAUUUACAACUCUUAGUUAAAAUUAAGGCCGGAUUAGGAGAAAAGCCUUUCUGAAAUUGUGAAAUUCUCUGACUCAGUGAUUCAAAUGUUAAUACGGUACCAUACCUCACCUUUCUUGCCUCAUGUCUUUCAUCCCAAUAAACCACUUCAACCACCACCGUAAUGCAGCCACUUCUGGAUAAAAUCACUUUGUCAUGAACAAAAAUCUACCCUUCUAAAGUGAGGAUAUGAAGAAAGGACAGAAAGCCUCCAGUUUGGCAUUUGCACUGGAUAUUGCUUGAAAGUAAGUGGGAUUCCCUUGGAGUUUUUCCCUCCCAGCAGCGCUGAGCCUGUUCAGGGUUUAAGCUAAUGCAAUGUGCCAACACUGUGUGCUGGCAGCACCAUGUUUUAAGCCUAUCAUAAGCUUAGCUUUUCUGUAGGAAGCCCUUCUCCAUGAGAAGGUGCCACUUGCUGUUUUUAUUGUGUUCUAGUACCCAGAAAACGUAUCUAGAAAGUCUAUAAGGCCAAGGAGAGGGUUUGUUUUCUGUGACAGAGCAUGUUGCAGUGAGAGGAGGGAGGCUGGGCUAUCACUUAGGACCUCGCUAACACUGCAGUGUGUUUGCUCAUCCUCUGACUCCACACGGUGUUUCUGGGUUACUUCAGAGAAAUGAGGUUUUGGUUUACUUAUUUUCAGAAGCAGAGGCAAAGAAAAAUUACUAUCACCAAUGUCUUAGUGUGAGUUAAAAUACACUGUAAACCUUUAUUGAAAGUUUUCCUAGGUCUUGUUCAGCUUGAAAAGAUGCAACUUUGUGCAAUAUGCUGUAUGUUGCCUGAUGAAGCUUUCCUUUCAGAUUGCAGUUUGAGUUCACACAAACGCACGAAAAGGAGCAAAACCAAGUGUCGAUACAGUGUGUCAGGAUGCUUUUUCACUGGAUCCUCUCAUUGUACUUUUUUUUCAUGUCUGAUGUAUUUACAGAAAAUGGACUUCUGUCUUCCUCUGGAUCUUUGGAUCCGUUCUUACUUCCCUCCCUGCCUUCUUGUUCUCUUCUGCUUGAUCUGACAGUCAUGAUAAAGUCCUGAACACCUACUGCUGUGGAAACUCUUCUCCUGUCAUCUUCUGACAUGCAUGUGAAAUGAUGAGGUUGGUGCCAUGGUUAAGACCUUAAAAUAAAGGUCUUUCCAGGAAUCUGAGCUGACUUUUUGAAAUGGUAGUUGCUAAUGCAAAAUUGAUAUAGGAAUUACCAAAGGUGGUAAGUAUUCUGCUUAUUAUACAACACAAGAAUAUGGGAGAAUUAUCCAGUGGAGCAGCAGACUGGAUGGUAGAAUCAGAACCAUCCUUUAAAUUCCUCACUUAAUUACAGAUUUGUUUUGAUACUUGAUCCUGUAUUUUGUUCUAUGAAAUGGGGGUGGACAUCCUUUCUCUGCAUUAUCUACUUGUAAUAAGCCUUUGCAAUUCAUCUUUUACCAUGCUUGUGUGCGUGCCAUAUUUCAUCUGUUAGUAUUAGCUGUAUUGACAUCUUUUUGUGUACGGAUAAAGUAAUAAUAAUUGAAAAUCAAAUAAGAAAUGAGCAAGCUUGAAAAUCAUCCAGAUGUGGACUAACACCUAGAGAUUCUGUCAUAGAAGAGGUUGAGCAGAAAAGGGAGGGGGGAGUAUUAGGCUGAAAGAUAAUUUCUAGUGGAGUUUCUCAUGGUCAAUAUUCAAUUUCUGUAGUGAGUUUGGGGGAAAAAACAGAAGUAUGCUAAUGACAUUUGCUAGUGCUUAAGUAGUAUCAUCAGAGGAAGAAUGGGAUAUCAUUUAGGAAGAGGGGAAAGAUCAAGGAGAUGGAGUAAUAGGAACAGGAUAAAAUGUAGCAGCACAAAAUGUGGGAUCCGAUACUUGCAAAACGUUUUGCUAUAGUGGGGCCUUUUGCUCCACUUGGCAACUAGAGAGGACGAAGAAAGAAGAACCUCAUCUUAUUAGUUGAUGAUUGAGUGACUAGUUUGAUGUGACUUUAAUAUGAUUGCAGGAUAUGCCAGACAAAGUACUUUGAGGACAGAAAGGAGAGUAUUUAUACCACUGCAUAAGGCAUCUGGAAUUAGUUAUGCUAUUCUGGUCACCCAUCUUCAAGAAAGAAAAACUGGAAGAGAAAAACUAGGAUGAUGAAAAGAAUUGUGAACAUGUUUUUUUAUGACAGGAGAUUCUGAGCUUGGCUUGUAUGACUUAGCAAAAUAGAUGUUGAGAAGAGAUGAGAGUGGGCUCUAUAAAUAUAUCAAGAAAGCAAACAACAGAGAGGAAGAGUUAUUUUAAGCUGAAAAGUAGUUUGGCAAAAGAACAAAUAGGUAUAAACUGGCAAUAAAAAAUUUUAGACUAUAAAUUAAGAGGUCUGUAAUCUUCAGAGGCAGGCUUUGGACCAAUCUUUCAAAUGAAAGAGGAAGAGACUGACAGGUAUCUAAAUGACUGUGAUGUGGUUAUCUGCAGUAUAAAGGAACUGGUUCCCCUGAUUAAAAACCCUUCUAGUCCUGUGUUUCUAAUCUGUAGUGUAAUGGAAUUCCUAAAUGUUAAUAAUACAAGUGUCAUCAGCAAUUAGCUGUUAAUCAAUAAUAUUCAUUAGUGACUGGGUGUUGCUUGGAUACAUGGUGAUUGGAUACAACCAUGAGGACAGCUGUAUCUGCUCUUUGGAAGACAAGACCCCAGAGGAAAAGCCUGUCCAUCCCGGCUUGGUUUUCAGAGAAGGUAAUUACACCUGAUUCCUGUUCAUUUGGGUAGUGCCAAUAUAAUUACUCCAGACCAACCUGCUUUUGUUUAUGAAGUCCCUGUGAUGCUGAGAUCAGAAUUGGGACCAACAUCUCUGCAUAGGUCCGUGGUAUGCUAGUUGUUGAUACAGAUAUUUAAAAAUUCUAAACAUUUCUGGACAAAACAGAAGCAUGUCUUUUCUGUCCUAUAAAGCUUCAUGUAUGUAUCGUGAUUCCUGGAGAGAGAUCCCAUCAGUUCUGUAGUUAUUAAUUUACAGGUUUCUCCCUGACCUUAGCUCAGCUCUGGGAAUGGUGCCAGAACAAUUACUGUAACUCUGCACAGUUCAGACAUGAAGCUCCUGUAUUUACCCUGAAAUUGUGCCAGAUUUUCUCUUGCUCAGUGAUGGAAAGAUGCAUUUCUUCUUUGAUUGGUUUCAAAUAGUUCAGACGGGGUUGGCCGUAACAAGAUUAUUUCCAGCAGAAGAAGGAAAAGAAAUAAAGUACCAUGCAGAUGUGUGCAUACACUGUAUAGUUAUUCUCAUGCCACAGACAGCCUUUAGGAAAUGAUCGUCGUGUCCCAAAAAAAGAUGUGGGGGGGAAACUGAGUCAAGGCAACUUAUGCUAUUUACCGCAAAGCUCAGUGGCAGGGUUGGGAAUAAAACUGAAGGGACAGAUGCCGAAUUCGGUGGUGUUUCCACUGAAUCAUGCUACCUUCCUGGAGCACGUGGAGGCCCCUUGCCUUCCUUCCUGUGAAGGUGGGCAGCUGGCCUGCAAUGAUGCCAGGUGGGCCGAGUGCGCGUGUCACCUUGGCGGAUCAGGCCCCCGGUGAUGAUCUCUGACGUUAAUCGACCACCAGACCCAGCAAGAGGGGAGGCAACACAUUUCCUGACCUGCGGUCUAAGAUACUGUUUUGCAGACCCUAGAGUGAGUUUAACGCUGUUGUAAAGGAAACGCUGACACGAGCCACCGGCAGCUGUUGUGCUCCAGCGUCCCUGCAAAGGCAAAUUGAAGGUUAUGGACAGAUGAGUCUGGGUGACUAAAUGAAUGAAUUGCCACCUCUCUGUGGAGCUACAGAAACUGACUGUUUUAGCCCUUUGCUUCUUGAAAUAAAUAACAUUAAUGCCAAGUAAAGAUGUUUGGCUCAGAGAAAGCGGAGGGGUUAUCGAUGUGGACCGCUCAGAUGGCUCUGCAAACACACGGCAGCUCACGAAAUGGCAGGAGGGUGAUCCCUCGCGCUGGCCGGGCUCUGUACCCCGUACACGCGUUCGAUGCGGACGCCGCUGGGUCCUGGGGUUCCCCAGCUCUGAAUUUGGCAGAAAUGUACCAUCUUGCCUAAUAAGAGCUAUACGAAGAUUUGCUUUUGGAAGUUGCUGAAAUGCUCAAAUGGUGUACUUAGGAGCGCCCUGCCCUGAUCCCCUGCAGGGAUUAAUAAAUAUUUGGCAUUAUA
RNA transcript from Dromaius novaehollandiae (emu), 8298 nucleotides. It is a transcript of the gene named leucine rich repeat containing 56, with no coding region annotated. The record is from RefSeq and is a predicted model, not a curated record. The transcript has 6 exons. Lineage: Eukaryota; Metazoa; Chordata; Aves; Casuariiformes; Dromaiidae.